Neopsephotus bourkii (Bourke's parrot) is the source of this 2520-nucleotide long non-coding RNA. RefSeq lists it as uncharacterized. The transcript is spliced from 3 exons. The record is from RefSeq and is a predicted model, not a curated record. Lineage: Eukaryota; Metazoa; Chordata; Aves; Psittaciformes; Psittacidae.
CAUUUUCCCAUGUGGUGCUCCAGUUGCCCACUCAGAACAUGUGAAACCCAACAUUCCAUUUACCAGAAAUGGUCUGGAAGGGCUGAAUUGCCUGUGACUAUCUGUGGAAAAGGCCUCUCAACCCAAAGCAUCGGCCCAAAACCCAGCACACAGAAAUCCCCUUGCCCUGAAGUGGGGUGUGCCAGCCACAGUUCUAAUGAACACAACCGGCAGAGUUGCCUCUCACUAUGCUCAACAGCCAGUGAGCACAGACAUUCUGCUUCCUGGACUGAGGGAGGCACAGGAGGAAGGUGUGAUACCUCUCAUGCUGAGAAGGACUCUGUAUGCCCCCUUGCUCAGAGAGCACUUGCAGAGAGCAGAGCUUGGUGCUGGGGGGCUGCUGCAUUAGCCCUCAUUUCAGGGACUGGACUGGUUCCCCAAAACAGUUCCUGCCUUGAGGUUUGCAGAACAAUAGUCCUUUCAAUUAGCGGUUAAACCAGUAUCUUUGCAAACUCUGGUUAUUUCUGGUUUUCAACGGGCAUGGAUAAUAGUUUGUUACCCUUUUUCUUAUAAGCUGCUUUUAGAGUAAGUGUUUUCAUCUUACAGAGCUCUUUUUAAUGAAAUACUUUGUUCUUACUGAAAUGAUGCCCCAGCUCAUCUGAAAGCAGUUGGAUUUCUAUUCAGUUAUUAAUAUGCCUAAGUAUUGCAAACAAAGGGAAGAUGGGUAAAGGUACUCCCAAACCAGAGAAUUGAUUGGGGUCUGCUUCCACAUUCAAUCUUCAGCUGCUGCAGCACAAAAACUAAUCUUCCCUGUGAAACUGAAACACAAGAAUCUAAUGUUGUUUAUGAGAUUGUUCUCCUCAAAAGAAAGGAAGUGAUGACCAAAGUUAAAGGAAGCACAGGUUCUGCCUCUUAUCUCAGCAGGACACAACUCAGACAUGAGGAGAAAGAAAGGAUCACUACUGAACUUUAAAGCCUAAAAAUAACUAAGCCAGAGAAAGGUCCAGAAAUCUUUUGGUCCUUAGAGAGUUCAAGCCUUGUAGUAAGAAACAGCAAAAUUACAGAGCAGUAGGUACAAAACAAACCCUGUCAAGCACAGUUGGAGCAGAGUCAGACGUAUUCCUGCUGCCAGUGCUGGGAGCAGCAGGGAGUUUCAGCCUCCCCAAGGUGGCCAUGUGUGCAGGGACAGGGACAUGAGAGGAGGUGGCUGGGAGAGGAAGAGCACUGGGUUCUCUCCUGCUUUAGGCUCUGCCUUCUCCCUUUGCACUGCGGCACUGGGCAGAAGCAAGUCCCAGGAACACGCUGGACGCUGAUGUUCGGGAGUGCCACAUACCCACGUGUCUGCAGUGGUAGCUGAUGCCUUGGCAACCAGCUGACUCUUAAAAAUAGCCUGGAGGGAAAGGGAGAGGCAGAUGCAUUCUGGCUUUCACUCUGGUCCUUCAGCUGCAGGCUCAGGAGAGGCUGUUUCAGCCUGUUUAGUGAAGAGCAGGCUACCAAGACUAGAUCCAGGGUUUUGUGCCAUAGAAGUAAGUGAAAUGAACAUAAAGUAAUCGAUGAGAUUCACAGAUGAGCCUGGGCUGAAGUAGGUUCUUUUUAUUUAAUGAAGAUGGGAAGAAGAGGAAGGUGGGCUUUAAGAUACUUGAUAACACUCUUUUCUGUUCCUGGAAGGCUCUUGUCUGUGAAAGUGCCAUUUGCCAGGAGCAGAGGUGUGAAGAAAGGCACAGAAAAGCUUUCAGGGCCAUUCACUGCAAUGCCAUAGAUCUCACAGACCAGAAGGAAACCUGUGCACAGGAGAGCCCAUAGCUAUUAACAGCUAAAGGUACCAAAGCAAAUCUGACUGGUCUGUCUUCAUGCACAUCGUUAGAGUAAUGUCUGUUUCCUGCUGUUGUCUGCUCUUCUCCAGUUUGCUGUGAUCUCCCCUUCCACCCUCGUUGCAGACUCAAAGAUAAUUGCUAAUGGUCCAAGGAGUGCUCCAUCUGGUCCCUCAGGGACACAGACCAGUUGGCCACUAAAGUAUUCUGCAAAGGAGGUAAGAAAGAAUUGCAAUUUGAUAAGAUUUGUUCUUCCAUUUGCUUGUCACUUUGAUAUAAAUGUGAUUUCUCCUGGAUAUAGAAUCUUCUAUCUUUCCCCUUUCUGCCCUGCUCUACUGCUCUAGGAAGGCUUGCAAUACUUAAUCCGUGCCUAGGUGUAGUUCCACAUCCUUUGGGAGUAUUUUGUCUCCAGGACCCUGGUCCCAAGUUCAGUGAAUAAAACCCAAGAAUUUUUGGAGAGAAAAUAUUACAUUUUGUUUUGUUUUGGGUUUUUUUUUGCAGUUAGAAGUGGUUGUAGAUACUAGCUGGAUUAUGAACUAGUUUACUAUUGAAAUUGUAGUUUGUGUUAAAGUAAGGAAAUCCCAUAUUAAUAACAUCAAGGAAAGACCUGACUACUCUGGGGGUAAACCUAAUGCAUCCCAGAAAUUCCAAUUGCUUUACUUUUGUUCUUACUAGUACUCCUAUGAACACUUGUGGUAUAUCUGCCACACCUAUGCCUGUGAGCUGUAUU